RNAcentral lists this ribosomal RNA (492 nucleotides) under uncultured bacterium. RNAcentral's name for it is "partial 16S ribosomal RNA". It matches the Rfam family "Bacterial small subunit ribosomal RNA", at positions 29 to 507 of the family's 1533-position model. The record is from RNAcentral.
AGUGAACGCUGGCGGUAGGCCUAACACAUGCAAGUCGAACGGCAGCACAGUAAGAGCUUGCUCUUACGGGUGGCGAGUGGCGGACGGGUGAGGAAUACAUCGGAAUCUACUUUUUCGUGGGGGAUAACGUAGGGAAACUUACGCUAAUACCGCAUACGACCUACGGGUGAAAGCAGGGGAUCUUCGGACCUUGCGCGAUUGAAUGAGCCGAUGUCGGAUUAGCUAGUUGGCGGGGUAAAGGCCCACCAAGUCGACGAUCCGUAGCUGGUCUGAGAGGAUGAUCAGCCACACUGGAGCUGAGACACGGUCCAGACUCCUACGGGAGGCAGCAGUGGGGAAUAUUGGACAAUGGGCGCAAGCCUGAUCCAGCCAUACCGCGUGUGUGAAGAAGGCCUUCGGGUUGUAAAGCCGUUUUGUUGGGAAAGAAAAGCAGCAGGUUGAUACCCCGCUGUUCUGACGGUACCCAAAGAAUAAGCACCGGCUAACUACGUG